Molecule: transfer RNA, 72 nt
Filed under: Camelus bactrianus (Bactrian camel)
Lineage: Eukaryota; Metazoa; Chordata; Mammalia; Artiodactyla; Camelidae
Also listed under: 2 other names
Rfam family: tRNA
About the family: Transfer RNA (tRNA) molecules are approximately 80 nucleotides in length. Their secondary structure includes four short double-helical elements and three loops (D, anti-codon, and T loops).
Source: Rfam by way of RNAcentral
GAGGAUAUAGCUCAGUGGUAGAGUGCGUGCUUAGCAUGCAUGAGGUCCUGGGUUCAAUCCCCAGUACCUCCA